This 392-nucleotide ribosomal RNA is filed under the name Paracoccus sp. (in: a-proteobacteria). RNAcentral's name for it is "bacterial SSU rRNA". It matches the Rfam family "Bacterial small subunit ribosomal RNA", at positions 21 to 441 of the family's 1533-position model. Lineage: Bacteria; Pseudomonadati; Pseudomonadota; Alphaproteobacteria; Rhodobacterales; Paracoccaceae. The record is from RNAcentral.
GGCUCAGAACGAACGCUGGCGGCAGGCUUAACACAUGCAAGUCGAGCGAGGUUUUCGGACCUAGCGGCGGACGGGUGAGUAACGCGUGGGAACGUGCCCUUUGCUACGGAAUAGUCCCGGGAAACUGGGUUUAAUACCGUAUGUGCCCUUUGGGGGAAAGAUUUAUCGGCAAAGGAUCGGCCCGCGUUGGAUUAGGUAGUUGGUGGGGUAAUGGCCCACCAAGCCGACGAUCCAUAGCUGGUUUGAGAGGAUGAUCAGCCACACUGGGACUGAGACACGGCCCAGACUCCUACGGGAGGCAGCAGUGGGGAAUCUUAGACAAUGGGGGCAACCCUGAUCUAGCCAUGCCGCGUGAGUGAUGAAGGCCCUAGGGUUGUAAAGCUCUUUCAGCU